Molecule: non-coding RNA, 96 nt
Organism: Podarcis lilfordi (Lilford's wall lizard)
Lineage: Eukaryota; Metazoa; Chordata; Lepidosauria; Squamata; Lacertidae
Source: the annotation of a GenBank genome assembly
ACCUUAGAGACCAAUUAAGCAUGUUCUGGGUAUAAGCUUUUGUGUGCAUGCACACGAAAGCUUAUACCCAGAACAUAUUUAGUUGGUCUCUAAAUU